RNAcentral lists this ribosomal RNA (253 nucleotides) under uncultured bacterium. RNAcentral describes it as "partial 16S ribosomal RNA". It matches the Rfam family "Bacterial small subunit ribosomal RNA", at positions 524 to 776 of the family's 1533-position model. The record is from RNAcentral.
UACGUAGGGUGCGAGCGUUAAUCGGAAUUACUGGGCGUAAAGCGUGCGCAGGCGGUUUUGUAAGCCAGAUGUGAAAUCCCCGGGCUUAACCUGGGAAUGGCAUUUGGGACUGCAAGGCUCGAGUGCGGCAGAGGAGACUGGAAUUCCUGGUGUAGCAGUGAAAUGCGUAGAUAUCAGGAAGAACACCAGUGGCGAAAGCGGCUCUCUGGGGACCACCUGACGCUGAGGCGCGAAAGCGUGGGGAGCGAACCGG